GAUGAACGCUGGCGGCGUGCCUAAUACAUGCAAGUCGAACGCUUCACUUCGGUGAAGAGUGGCGAACGGGUGAGUAAUACAUAAGUAACCUGGCAUCUACAGGGGGAUAACUGAUGGAAACGUCAGCUAAGACCGCAUAGGUGUAGAGAUCGCAUGAACUCUAUAUGAAAAGUGCUACGGGACUGGUAGAUGAUGGACUUAUGGCGCAUUAGCUUGUUGGUAGGGUAACGGCCUACCAAGGCGACGAUGCGUAGCCGACCUGAGAGGGUGACCGGCCUCACUGGGACUGAGACACGGCCCAGACUCCUACGGGAGGCAGCAGUAGGGAAUUUUCGGCAAUGGGGGAAACCCUGACCGAGCAACGCCGCGUGAAGGAAGAAGUAAUUCGUUAUGUAAACUUCUGUCAUAGAGGAAGAACGGUGGAUAUAGGGAAUGAUAUCCAAGUGACGGUACUCUAUAAGAAAGCCACGGCUAACUACGUG
RNAcentral lists this ribosomal RNA (482 nucleotides) under uncultured bacterium. RNAcentral describes it as "partial 16S ribosomal RNA". It matches the Rfam family "Bacterial small subunit ribosomal RNA", at positions 28 to 507 of the family's 1533-position model. The record is from RNAcentral.